Molecule: non-coding RNA, 273 nt
Organism: Vicia faba (fava bean)
Lineage: Eukaryota; Viridiplantae; Streptophyta; Magnoliopsida; Fabales; Fabaceae
Source: the annotation of a GenBank genome assembly
AUGUUACAACAACUCAAGUUUUACCUAAGCUUAAUUUCAAAUACAUCAUCAAAACUUCAAAGUUUCAAAGAAAUUCAAAAAGAUAUACAAGAUAUUCGAGUUUCUAGAUUCACUUCAAGAACUACAUUUCAAAGUUCUAUGCCUAACAUUCUUCGGAUGUUACAAAGUUUUGAUUCCUUAAGCUUUCUGAUAUCAACCAUGCCAAACAUCUCCAUCUUUCCUCUAGGCCACGGCUUCCUCAUUGUUUCUUUAAGAGUUCUUCAAACUUCAUAG